This 1115-nucleotide long non-coding RNA is filed under the name Androctonus crassicauda. The record is from RNAcentral. Lineage: Eukaryota; Metazoa; Arthropoda; Arachnida; Scorpiones; Buthidae.
AAUUAAUAAUAAAAUAUUUAUAAUUUAAUCAAAAGCAUAGUCUAUUAUUUAUACUUUUCUUAUGUAUAUAUAUAUAGCUCAUUUUGUCCUAAUAAGGGCCCCGAAGAAUUCUAGUGCCUAGGGUCUGGUAUGUAAUUAAUCCGGUACUAUAUGAAACGAAUAUUCUACUUUUAUCGAUAUUUAACAGUACGAAUAGAAUAUUAUUUUGUGUUAAAAGAUUUAUUUAAAAAAUAGUACUCCACUGACAGCUGACUGUCAUCAUAUAAUCAUUUCGUAAAACAUUAUUUAUGCUCAUGUUGGGGUUAGCGCGCCUAACCUCGACAGGUAAACUAGAUUGUUGCCAAUCAUUUAAUCAAGAAAGUUGAAACAAUCAAUUUAUUCUUUAUUUAGGAGUAUUAUGUCUGGCUGUGUCGUAGCAAUUUGCAAAACAAAUACAAGAUACAAACAUGAAAAAAUUAUUUUACGUAGCUUUCUAAAAGAUAAAGAUCUAAGAAAUACGUGGAUUCAUAAAUGCAAAAGGAAAGAUAAAUUUAAUCCAAAAAAUAUCAGGAGUUUGUUCCAAACGCUACACAUCAGAUGAUUAUGAGAGGAAUUUGAAAGCAGAACUGCUUGGUAUACAACUUAAAAAGAAAUUAAAAUCCACAACAAUACCCUCAAAGCAGCUGGAUCCAGAGACUUCAGAAUUUGGCAUCACAAUUUUUAAUUUUAUUUUUAAGUUAAAUAUCAUUUUUAAUUUGGUGAUUGAUUAAAUAUAUGUCUAAUCAGGUGAUUCAUCAAGUAUUGAAGCAAACCAAAAAAAAAAAAAAAAUUAUGUUACUAAAAUAUCUCGAGGAAAUUUGUAUUGUCCUGCUGAUGAGUGGUUCAACAUUUUACAAACAGUUUGAAUUAUUAUUCAAUUGUUUCCAUGGCGAAAAAAUUUCAAAAAAUACGCCAGUCAUUCAAAAUCUCUGUUCAAUUAUCAGUGAUAAGUUCCCUAAUAUGUAUGAAAAAGUAAUCAAGUUAUUUGUUCGGACAAGACCUUCAUCCGGCAAAAUUUUUUAAAUCAGACAAGAAAACAACAGGCAACUGAAGAGAGAAAAAAGAAAAAACAAAACAAUGGCUUAAAUCUAACUGAG